Molecule: ribosomal RNA, 497 nt
Filed under: uncultured bacterium
Lineage: Bacteria
Description: partial 16S ribosomal RNA
Rfam family: Bacterial small subunit ribosomal RNA
Source: RNAcentral
GAUGAACGCUGGCGGCGUGCCUAAUACAUGCAAGUCGAGCGAACAGAUGAGGAGCUUGCUCCUCUGACGUUAGCGGCGGACGGGUGAGUAACACGUGGAUAACCUACCUAUAAGACUGGGAUAACUUCGGGAAACCGGAGCUAAUACCGGAUAAUAUAUUGAACCGCAUGGUUCAAUAGUGAAAGACGGUUUUGCUGUCACUUAUAGAUGGAUCCGCGCCGCAUUAGCUAGUUGGUAAGGUAACGGCUUACCAAGGCAACGAUGCGUAGCCGACCUGAGAGGGUGAUAGGCCACAUGGGAACUGAGACACGGUCCAGACUCCUACGGGAGGCCGCAGUAGGGAAUCUGACGCAAUGGGCGAAAGCCUGACGGAGCAACGCCGCGUGAGUGAUGACGGUCUUCGGAUCGUAAAACUCUGUUAUUAGGGAAGAACAAAUGUGUAAGUAACUAUGCACGUCUUGACGGUACCUAAUCAGAAAGCCACGGCUAACUACGUG